AUGGGACGGCCCGCUGGGCUGUUCCCGCCCCUAUGCCCUUUUUUGGGUUUCCGGCCAGAGGCAUGCUGGGAGCGUCACAUGCAAAUUGAGCGUGCACCCAGCGUUCCGCCCUUUCUACGCUGGGCCGGUUAUCGACCCGGCCCAGUGCGCAGGCGCGGGAAAGUUGAACUAAUAAAGUUUGUACGAGUUCAGUGGAGGAGACCGCAAGUUGAGUGGAGGAGGCGGCGGUGGGGCCCCGGACCAGGUGCCUCCAUGGCAGGCUCUGAAGAGCUGGGGCUCCGGGAAGACACGCUGAGGGUCCUAGCUGCCUUCCUUAGGCGUGGUGAGGCUGCCGGGUCUCCUGUUCCAACUCCACCUAGCCCUGCCCAAGAAGAGCCAACAGACUUCCUGAGCCGCCUUCGAAGAUGUCUUCCCUGCUCCCUGGGGCGAGGAGCAGCCCCCUCUGAGUCCCCUCGGCCUUGCUCUCUGCCCAUCCGCCCCUGCUAUGGUUUAGAGCCUGGUAAGAGAUUUCCAUGAUCAUCUAUGAAGCCGGCAGAACACGGGAUAAGGCCCAGCUACUCCAGACUUCUAUGCUUUGGUGGCCCAGCGGCUGGAACAGCUGGUCCAAGAGCAGCUGAAAUCUCCGCCCAGCCCAGGAGGGCAUCCUGGCUGUUUCACCCGUGGACUUGAACUUGCCAUUGGACUGAGCUCUUUCUCAGAAGCUGCUACAAGAUGACACCUCAUGUCCCUGCCCUCUUCGUGUGCUUUUCCAAGUCUUCCUAUUCCACUCAGGGCUGUGGGGUGGUGGUUGCCCUACCUGUUUUUGCCAAAAAUAAAUUGUUUAAAACUUUUCUUAUUAAAAACGUUACAAAGUA
This 854-nucleotide unclassified non-coding RNA is filed under the name Homo sapiens (human). RNAcentral describes it as "BCL2-like 12 (proline rich), transcript variant 54". Lineage: Eukaryota; Metazoa; Chordata; Mammalia; Primates; Hominidae. The record is from RNAcentral.